RNAcentral lists this long non-coding RNA (283 nucleotides) under Sorghum bicolor (sorghum). RNAcentral's name for it is "long non-coding RNA (SBIC_LNC015352)". The record is from RNAcentral. Lineage: Eukaryota; Viridiplantae; Streptophyta; Magnoliopsida; Poales; Poaceae.
UAGCAGCUGUGUUGUUCAUGUGGCAGGUACUUUGUGUAGUUGUGCUUUCGAUCAUAUCCUGGGAGAUUUUCUAUGUAAUGUGUUACUAAGACACACGACUGGCGACUUUUAUUUAGUGAUUAGAAAAUAAAUGCAAGGAUCCGGAGAUGAGUGGCAAGUUGCAACUGCUGGGAUACUCGAUCGCAUCUUCAAAUAAUUUCAGAAGAAGAGACGCGAGGAGUUGGGCGCGCACCAUGUGAAUGUCGUCUAGAUUUGGUAAGUUGUAGCACUAAGAUAACAUAGU